Non-coding RNA from Lactuca sativa (garden lettuce), 756 nucleotides. Lineage: Eukaryota; Viridiplantae; Streptophyta; Magnoliopsida; Asterales; Asteraceae. The record is from RefSeq and is a predicted model, not a curated record.
AUCAACAAAUCCCAUCAGCUCCACACAACCACUCAAGACCACAGAAAACUUUAUGCCGCCUUGCCUCCAUCCUGCUCCUAUCCCUCUCCGAAUAUCUGUUAUCUUCCGCCACCACUCCUCCAGCAUCACAAAACCCUUGAUGACUCUGACCCUAAAAGCGAGUUAUACUUCCAGCUUCCAUCCGACUUCCCCUGUUCUCGUUAUUCACGAUGUCGAUCUCAUCGCUCUUUUCUCUUGCUAGCGUCAUAACAUCCUCACUGUUGUAGCAAGGUAGCGACAUACCUCAUCAUUUACUCCUUAGCACUUAGCAACACCGAAGAUGAUCCUCCUCGUACCUCCGGCCUCAACCUUUUCCUCCUUUCCAGCUCCACCUCGCCGGCAACCUCCUCCGACUUCGUCCUCUCUAAUGCUAGACCUCUAUCGCAGCUUCACUUUCGCCACUGCUUUAGCGACGUCGACUUCCUCCAGUAUUCCAUAGCAGCUUCACGUCGUCACUACACCAUCGUCUUCAUUAGCUUAUUGAUUAAUUUCAAUGAAGGAUAACAGCUCAGGAGACUGGGAUAAUGAAAUUUGAUGACUGGUACAAGGAAAUAGUUCAAGAAUACAUCAAUUUAAUGAAAACAAAAUCACUAUUUAUGCAUCAUGUUCCCUAGAUUAGUGGUAAUGUUGUCAUUGAUUAUUUUUUGAAGGUUUUGGUAAUGAGAUAGUUGAUAACUUUUUUCUUCAAUUCUUUAUAAAUUUACAUUAUUUUUUCAA